Capsicum annuum is the source of this 2585-nucleotide RNA transcript. RefSeq lists it as uncharacterized. The record is from RefSeq and is a predicted model, not a curated record. Lineage: Eukaryota; Viridiplantae; Streptophyta; Magnoliopsida; Solanales; Solanaceae. The transcript has 5 exons.
GUUGCCAUAAAAUCAUCUAUGACAACGCUUUAUUGAAUAAAAAAAGCUAUUGCAGCGGUAUAACUAUUCCCACCAAAAAAUUUUGCUAAGUGCACCAACAAAAAACCCUUUAUUCUCCAAUCCGCCAAAAAAAAUCUUUCAUCACUUUUCAUCUAGCAUACUCUAAUCUGCCAAAAUUUUUUUACUAAGUCCGUUCCGCCACUGCUCCGACCACCAUACGUCGAUCACAAUACCGUUGCUCCGACCACCAUACGCCGACCAUCAUAUUUUUGCUCUGAACACCAUUCUCCUCUAAUUGUACCACUACUCCGACCAUCGUACCUUGAUUUCAAUGUUGCUCCGGCCACCACUGUGAGUAGGAAUAUGUAUUUGAAUUCUAAGUUGGGUAGGGUUGGGGUUUGAGGUGGGUUGGUGUCACAUUCUUUUUAUCAUGCCAGAUAUUUUCAUCUUUCCCUGUUUAACACUAAUCUUACAAAGUCAUCUUCUCCAUGUUACACAUUCUUUUUCUUUUCUUUUAAAUUCUUAAAUUUGCUCCAAUUUUCCUCUAAUUUGUAACUGGCAUUUAUCUAUGGUUUAAUUCAAUCACUAAGACAACUUGGUGUCUCUGUACCUAUCAAUUUUAGGUAUAGUUUCUGUUUUCGUAUUAUUUUUUAGGUAUUUUUAGCUCUAGGUUAGAAACAAACAAAAAACGAGUAUGGAUCGAGAAGGAGGAUCCUCCAGAUCUUGUUACUACUUUGGUACCUCCACAGGUUCUAGACAUAUCUUUAAGGACAAAUAUUACUAUGAUUUCUUCAAUGCAGCACUAAAAUUGCCUGCUCAUUUUACAUCAGGAGUUGUUGUUGCCUUUUAUUUAUCAAAUUCAGAUAUGUUCCCACAUAACCAUGAUGAAAUAGACUUUGAAUUACUUGGGCAUGAGAAGAUAAGGGAUUGGGUUCUGUAGAUAAAUCUUUAUGGAAAUGGAAGUGUUCACACAGGCAGAGAAGAAAAAUUCUACCUUUGGUUUGACCCAACACUGGAUUUCCACGACUAUACCAUCCUUUAGAACAAUUAUCACAUAGUGAAUCUGUACACUUGGGAACCUGCAGGUGUUAAAUCUUCAGGAUAACUUUAUAUAAGGUGUACUUGAUCCAUGCCUUGGUGGAAUGAUUUCUUUGGUUUCUUUAGAUCUUUAUUUCAAUCAUUUUGAGGGAACUAUUUCUUCAUCCAUAUUCAUCAACCUCACUCUGCUCAAGACUCUUCGUCUUUCACAUAAUAGGUUUUAUGGACUUCUCUUGUUUGCAUCAUUUGGUAACUUCUCCAGUCUUGAAGUCAUUGAUCUUACAAAUAAUGAGUUUGAAGUUGACACUGAAACUCUAUCUUGGGUUCCAUAUUUUCAACUUGUGUCCCUUGACUUACGAAAUACUAGACUGAACCAGAACUAUGGCCAUGCGAUUACUUUGUUCAUUGCCAAACAACACAAGUUGAAGUCCCUAUCGUUGUCCUAUAAUUCCCUUACAGAAAAUGUUCCCUCUUGGUUGUUGUAUAAUAAUACACUUCUUAUGUUGUCUUUGAGAAGCAACCGUUUGUGUGGUGGAAAUCCUGUGGCUUCUCAGUUUCAAGCAUCAACUCUGCUGAUGCUUGAUGUAUCAGAUAAUUUGUUAGGUAGUACACUUCCAUUAACGUGCGUGAAUAAUUUCCGAAAUUACUCUAUCUUAACCUGUCACAUAGCGCUCUCGAGGGCACCCUUGCUUCAUCUUUUGACAAUCUGCUAAAGUUAAAGGCGACAGAUCUUUCUGACAAUUUCUACGGGGAAAACUAACUCCACCUUUAUGACAAAAUAACACUUCAUUGGAACAAGGAACUCUGUGGACCUCCACUGGAAAAUGAGUGUGUAUUCUCGAGCCCUCCUUAGCAGCAUGAUGAAGAAGAAGAAGAAGAAGAAGAGGAAGACGAGAAGCAAGGUGACACCAAAAACAUUAGCUGAUGUCAAAGGUUGCACCCUAAUCUCAUACGACAGAAAAGUACAGUUUCUCUUUCUCUGAUAACUCAGUAAUCUCAUUAAAAAUCUGAUGCAAGAAGGUUUGGACAGGGAUGAAAAACCUGUUACUUGGAAUUAUUCAAGUGCGUCUAGUGCAACGAGUAUAUAUCAGCGUGGAAUCUUCCUAAAUCAUCAAAGAGGAAUUCGCUUUGUGUUUUACGUCAAGCAGUAGUUACUUCCAUAAUGACCAUGUGCAACUCAAGGUGGCCUCCUUACAAAUUAGGUGCUUUAUUUCAUGAGUGCCCAUACUAAGAAGCUAGAGAUGUUGUCCAUAGCUUUUGCGCGAAAUAGCAAUCUAAGCGUCUUCUACAUGCUCUUCAAUUGUGAAAUUCCUUUGUAUGUUACAGAUCAAAGGUACUCCUUCGGCGAUAAGGCUGUUGGUCAAUGCUGCAAGGAAGGAAACGAUAUGGUAUCUUUUGAUGUUUUCUUGUUCAGUAAGUUGUAGCACAUAUUGGCUGCUAGCUCAGAAAUUGCCAAGGAUUAAUUGUGAACUUUCAUUAUGCUUGUGUGUGUAAAUAGUUUUUGUACAACAUUUGGCAUCAUGUUCAAUAACAAGUGUUCUUAUAAA